This is a long non-coding RNA of Pogoniulus pusillus (Red-fronted tinkerbird), 2783 nucleotides long. RefSeq lists it as uncharacterized. The transcript has 2 exons. The record is from RefSeq and is a predicted model, not a curated record. NCBI's taxonomy places the organism in Eukaryota, Metazoa, Chordata, Aves, Piciformes, Lybiidae.
UGAUUCUAUGAUUCUAUGAUUCUGUGAUAUGUUUAUUGAAAGGCCUUACAUGAAGUAGCUCAUUAUAAACACUGAGCUUCAUGCUUGUCAAUCAGCUGUUUCAUCACUGCUCCUGAGGAGUAUGGUGGUCACCAGUAUGUAAUGGCUGAACUCUGUGCUUUACUGCAUGACCGUUCCCAACACAAAACUUCUUCAUAGCCUUCUUCUCGUUAGCUAAAAGGCAGUUGCAGUCUUUUAAGGGCAGGUGUGCUGAAGGCAGUGCGUGUAUGUAUGAAUUACUUCUUUCUUGAAGCCAAAGCUUUGUGCUGUCUGUAGAAGUUCCUCGUUAGAGGCACUAAGUUGAGCAGGAUCGUUUUGCACAUACCGUAUCAGAUGAAAGGGUGGAGAGCUCCUAAUCCAUGCAGCCUCCCCAUGACCGGUGUGUCUGGGGCAGGGGAACACAGCUGGCAAACCCCCUGCUAAGCUGCUCCUUAGCUGUUCUUGACAUCGUGGGGCCUCGGCAGUAAGGCAGAGCUGUAGCUUGCUGUCACACAAGAGCUGGCCCCAUCCAAACCAGUCCCAAGAUGAAGAUGAUGCAGAAAUGAGCUGUGGGUGCUUUUCUGCACAAAAGGCUGGGGCUCUGUGCCCAUUUCUGUCCAAAGAAGAUUUGUGACUGUUUCAUAAGUAGGUUUCCACUCAAACACACUUUGUACUAUAAUUCUGCCCGGGAUUGUGAUCUGCAACUGGUUCAUGCCUGAAGUAAUAAUAUCCUCAGGCAACUAAUGACUAGGGGCGUUUUCUUAAAGAGCCUGAAGGUAGCAGAUUUCAGGUCAGCAUUGUUUACAAUGAUUUGGACAUCUGCAGGCUAAUAGAGAGAUGAGGCUCCAGACCACACUGUUGCAGAGCUCCUGCCCCCAUCCUCCCCUGAGGCACCUCUGCUGAGGGAAAUGCACUGCCUUCAGGUUCUACUCAGCACUUCCAGACCAAUAGUUCUGUUUUCUCCCUUUAAAUCAUAGUGGUGCAGUAGCCCAGCUUAAUCAUCUCUUCACCAAGGGAUCUGGAGUGAAAGGAGCCCAGCCAUGAAAGGUGCUCAGCCUCUGAGGUCUCUGGCCUCCCAGGGCCACAGCAGUCACCAAACUGGGCUUUUUAGGCCAGAAGCAGGUUUCCAAGGAGACAUUGUUACCCGGACACAUUUCUCCUUUGCAAUAGCAGCAGCAGCAGAGGAAGAAGUAGGUGUUAAAGUACCAGAAUUAAAUUAGUUUCAUGAAGACAAAAAGACACAGCAGAGACUCAUUUUGCUGUGAAGGAUGCUAUGAAGUCAGCUUGCUCUGCACUGCAGGUGGGAAAGGCAAGGGGGAAGAGAUGUUGUUGACACAAUAUGUAAAUUGUUACCCAGGUGUUUUAAAUCCAAUUCCACAGUCAGAUAAAAUCUGACAAUAGACUUAAGUAGAAAUAUAUAGAUGUAUAUUAUAGUCCAAUAUUUAUUCUGCUCCACAAUUCCCAGGGUGGGAAAGAGCCUUCUGUUUAAGACACAAAGAAGAGUCAGCAUGGCCCAGCAUCACCACUUUCUUGUGCAACAUUUAUCUGUUAAGUGCUGCCAUAGCAACUUCUGUGUACCAGACAGCUAUUUGAGUACAAGCUAUGCAACCACCUCUGCCACUGAGGAACUGCAGCAAGAAGUCUGUAACGUAGCUGGUCUGUGACCUGGCAGGAGGUUGCCCGUUUCCCAGCAGCAGCUGAAAAGCAAACACACAGAGACCCAUUUACUUCUGCUUGCAUAGCUUGUAAGCAGCUACCAGCCCAUCACAUUUGUUACUGCCAGAUGAAGCUUAUCUUGGUCAUAAUCAGACUUCUCACAGCAAUCAUCAUCCUAGGAGAGGUGCAAACACGUGGGAGUACUUUGAGUACAUCAGCCAGUCAAAUGUUGUCAGGGUGGUCCUGUAUUUGUCAUGUGUGUUACUGACAUUGGAAUUGCAGUCCUAAGAGCCUCUGCUCUCAGUGUGGCAAGAAAGACAUACAUGAGCAAAUGUCAUCAGCAUCAACAGGAGUUGUGCAGGUAAGGUACCUUCUACCAGCACAGCACACCAUUGCCCUGCCACCAGUUGCAAAGUACUUUUGCAUGCAUGCUGAACUCAAUCCACAUGCUUCCCUAAGGAUAAGAAACACUGCUGGCAGGAGGGGUGGUAUAUUGACCUGAAAUGCUCUGUACAGUGCAGGAAGGUGUGGGGUUGUUGCAGACUUGCAAGCACUUUGGGGGUAGAUCCUCUUAGCUACAUUUGGUAAUGCAUGCUCACCAAAACGGAGGCCUUCCCAUGCUCACACUCUACCUCUCUUCUUCAGCAUGGAUUUUGCUUCUACUUCCAGGAGGGAAAGUAACCACUGACCCAGAAGCUGCUGAGAUGAUUCCUCGGACUUUGCCUUUAAUGUACUGGCUCACACCUUCAGCUCCAGCAAACCAAGGCAUGUUCCCACAUAGCUGGAUGCUAAAAGAUCCAGCUCAUUUCCCCACAGAAAGGCAUUCCAGUUCAUACCUAAAGGUCACUGAUAGAGAUGUGACACUGCACUGUUGCAGAGCAGCCCUUGGUGAUAGAGACAAGAACCUCCCUGAGCCAGUGCACACAGGUCCUUGGCUUCCACAUGUACAAGUGUUUCCUACCCACUGUUUGACUGCUGUUAGUCAACAGUUGUUGGAAUUGGGGUUCCAUGUAACAACUUCUUGAUCAUUGGGUUCCAUGUAACAACUUCUUGGUCAUUGUAAGAUGUUUUCACAAGAUGAAUAAAAUUGCCCCUAUGGAAAAUGAAAA